Molecule: ribosomal RNA, 107 nt
Filed under: Listeria monocytogenes
Lineage: Bacteria; Bacillati; Bacillota; Bacilli; Caryophanales; Listeriaceae
Source: RNAcentral
UAUUGCGAGAAGGUCACACCCGUUCCCAUCCCGAACACGGUAGUUAAGCUUCUCUGCGCCAAUGGUAGUUGGGGGCUUCCCCCUGCGAGAGUAGGUCGCUGCCGGGC